Molecule: ribosomal RNA, 532 nt
Filed under: uncultured bacterium
Lineage: Bacteria
Description: bacterial SSU rRNA
Rfam family: Bacterial small subunit ribosomal RNA
Source: RNAcentral
CCUUGACAUACUAAGAACUUUCCAGAGAUGGAUUGGUGCCUUCGGGAACUUAGAUACAGGUGCUGCAUGGCUGUCGUCAGCUCGUGUCGUGAGAUGUUGGGUUAAGUCCCGNAACGAGCGCAACCCUUUUUCCUUAUUUGCCAGCGGGUCAUGCCGGGAACUUUAAGGAUACUGCCAGUGACAAACUGGAGGAAGGCGGGGACGACGUCAAGUCAUCAUGGCCCUUACGGCCAGGGCUACACACGUGCUACAAUGGUCGGUACAAAGGGUUGCUACCUCGCGAGAGGAUGCUAAUCUCAAAAAGCCGAUCGUAGUCCGGAUCGCAGUCUGCAACUCGACUGCGUGAAGUCGGAAUCGCUAGUAAUCGCGGAUCAGAAUGCCCGCGGUCCGAUACGUUCCGGCCUUGUACACACCGCCCGUCACACCAUGGGAGUUUGUUGCACCAGAAGUAGGUAGUCUAACCGCAAGGAGGACGCUUACCACGGUGUGGCCGAUGACUGGGGUGAAGUCGUAACAAGGUAGGCGUAGAUGA